AAUAAAUGGGAUUAGAGGGUCUUCAAAGCCUGCAGAAUUUUCAUCUUUUAGUUCCUCAUUCAUCAUCUUCCUGUGGGAAACCCGUCUGUCCUAGAUCAUACUCUUUAUCCUCAUUUCGAAACCUAAGCAAUCUCUCUUUCGCCUAUUCAUUAGGUCGUCCUUCUACCCCUUUUGGCUCUUGUGAUAAUCUCAGAAGUUCUGGUCUAAAACGAUCUUGCAGUG
Molecule: unclassified non-coding RNA, 222 nt
Filed under: Hevea brasiliensis (rubber tree)
Lineage: Eukaryota; Viridiplantae; Streptophyta; Magnoliopsida; Malpighiales; Euphorbiaceae
Source: RNAcentral